This 253-nucleotide ribosomal RNA is filed under the name uncultured bacterium. RNAcentral describes it as "partial 16S ribosomal RNA". It matches the Rfam family "Bacterial small subunit ribosomal RNA", at positions 524 to 776 of the family's 1533-position model. The record is from RNAcentral.
UACGAAGGGGGCUAGCGUUGCUCGGAAUCACUGGGCGUAAAGCGCACGUAGGUGGUUUCGUAAGUCUGGCGUGAAAUUUUUCGGCUUAACCGGGAAAGGUCGUCGGAUACUGCGGAACUAGAGGACGGUAGAGGCGUGUGGAAUUCCGGGUGUAGUGGUGAAAUGCGUAGAGAUCCGGAGGAACACCAGUGGCGAAGGCGACACGCUGGGCCGUACCUGACACUGAUGCGCGACAGCAUGGGGAGCAAACAGG